Peromyscus maniculatus bairdii (prairie deer mouse) is the source of this 1248-nucleotide non-coding RNA. NCBI's taxonomy places the organism in Eukaryota, Metazoa, Chordata, Mammalia, Rodentia, Cricetidae. The record is from RefSeq and is a predicted model, not a curated record.
AGUAUUGAGCCAUCACUCCAGCCCCUGAGAGGAGACUCUGAGUAGUGAUACUCAGAAAUGUUUUGUGACAGAAACCACAACUGGAUCUUACCCUCCAGCCCCCGCAUGGGUCAGGGAGAAGAUACACCCCUUAGCAGGUGUUCCUGGGCUUCCUGGCUGCCUCCAGGAGGCCGAUGCCACAGAGAGCCUUUCUCCUGGCCAGGCUGUCCAUUGAGGACUUCUGCUGGACUGAUGGCUACAGGCUGGCUCGUCACUGAGAGGACGAGACACAGUGGACAAUGGGGACCACGGAGGUGACAAGCCCAAGUAGCAUCAGAGAGAGAUCAUGUCACUGGGAACACUGUUGCCUGCUUUGCUCAGAUGAUGGUGUGUUGGGGGAUGCUUUAGGUCACCAGGGAUGCUGAAAACAAUCCUUGCCUCUAUCUGUAUAAACUGGGGACAUGGCUGCUCCAAGCUAUGGCUGAGGGGAAGGUUUUUAGUGUAGAUGUGAGGGAGAGAACAGUCAGCGGCAUCUGGAAGAGUCCACAGGAGGGAGAGAAAGUAGGUACACUACACAGGACAUGGCUAGCAGACUGGACCAGGCCAUGAGAGGAGAGAGAGAAAGGGAGAAUGAGAGAGGAAGACAAAGAGAGUGUAGGCAAAGGGGCCCCAGAGAGAGGGGACCCAGAAAGGAAGACAAAAGAGAGAGCACAUGGCCGAAAUGGCAGUUAUACGGGGAUGGGAAGCUGGGGGAAGGGAAGGCCAUGAGCUGGAGAUGUUCAGGGUAGGGGGCAGGAUAAAGAGAGCUGAGAAGAGCCACAGGUACUGAGGGAACCUGGAGGCCAGGAUGUGCUUUGGUAUGCUAAUAGGCACCACAGAUUGUCGUCUGUCUGGAGUUUCUUUUGGGCCUGGCACAACCCGCGCAUGCCUCCCGUGUAUUCCUCCACUUAGGGUUGAAACUGUCUUCAGAUGGUGUCGGCUGCCCCUGCCAGAGAAGGCUUUCGAUUGGGAGCAUCUGGACCGAGCAGUGAGCUGGAGGGGUGUUCGAGGCUGACGACCCACAGGAAGGAGAGUGGAGACGGUGAAGAGAGACAAGAACGGAAGGUGGAGGCUAGUCCUGAGCUGCCCAGGAGAUCCUAACUCUGAAGGCCAGUGGUUGGGUGUCUGCAAAACAGCUGUCAUGCAUUUUCUCCUUGCAUCCUGAUGGUGACCCUGUGAGGUGUUCCUUUGCUGCGAGGCUGUGCCCACACCAGGCACCGGACAUUGAGG